RNAcentral lists this ribosomal RNA (2213 nucleotides) under Closterium navicula. RNAcentral describes it as "partial 23S ribosomal RNA". It matches the Rfam family "Bacterial large subunit ribosomal RNA", at positions 164 to 2396 of the family's 2925-position model. The record is from RNAcentral. Lineage: Eukaryota; Viridiplantae; Streptophyta; Zygnematophyceae; Desmidiales; Closteriaceae.
UCAUAGGCAGGCAAGAGACAACCUGGCGAACUGAAACAUCUUAGUAGCCAGAGGAAAAGAAAGCAAAAGCGAUUCCCUAAGUAGUGGCGAGCGAAAUGGGAACAAGCCUAAACCGCGUAAGCGGGGUUGUGGGGAGAACUAUACGAGCGAAGAGUUACUAGGCGAAGCAGCUGAAUCCUGCACCAUAGAUGGUGAUAGUCCAGUACCCAAAAGUUUCUUUAGCUUAUGUUCUAACCCGAGUAGCAUGGGGCACGUGGAACCCCGUGUGAAUCUGCGAGGACCACCUCGUAAGGCUAAAUACUCCUGGAUGACCGAUAGUGAAGUAGUACCGUGAGGGAAAGGUGAAAAGAACCCCCAUCGGGGAGUGAAAUAGAACAUGAAACCGUAAGCCUCCAAGCAGUGGGAGGAGAAUGGAAUCUCUGACCGCGUGCCUGUUGAAGAAUGAGCCGGCGACUUAUAGGCAGUGGCCUGGUUAAGGUUUUCCGUAGCCGUAGCGAAAGCGAGUCUUUCUAGGGCGAAUGUCACUGUUUAUGGACCCGAACCCGGGUGAUCUAACCAUGGCCAGGGUGAAGCUUGGGUGAAGCCAAGUGGAGGUCCGAACCGACUGAUGUUGAAAAAUCAGCGGAUGAGCUGUGGUUAGGGGUGAAAUGCCAAUCGAACUCGGAGCUAGCUGGUUCUCCCCGAAAUGCGUUGAGGCGCAGCGGUUGACUAGACUGCCUAGGGGUAAAGCACUGUUUCGGUGCGGGCUGCGAAAGCGGUACCAAAUCGAGGCAAACUCUGAAUACUAGGCAAGUACAUUGGUCAGCCAGUGAGACGGUGGGGGAUAAGCUUCAUCGUCAAGAGGGAAACAGCCCAGAUCACCAGCUAAGGCCCCUAAAUGACCGCUCAGUGGUAAAGGAGGUGAGAGUGCAAAGACAGCCAGGAGGUUUGCCUAGAAGCAGCCACCCUUGAAAGAGUGCGUAAUAGCUCACUGAUCGAGCGCUCUUGCGCCGAAGAUGAACGGGACUAAGCGGUCUGCCGAAGCUGUGAGAUGUCUAUAGAAGACAUCGGUAGGGGAGCGUUCUGCAUUAGGGCGAAGCAUCAGUGAAAACAGGUGUGGACGAAGCAGAAGUGAGAAUGUCGGCUUGAGUAACGCAAACAUUGGUGAGAAUCCAAUGCCCCGAAAACCCAAGGGUUCCUCCGCAAGGCUCGUCCACGGAGGGUGAGUCAGGACCUAAGAUCAAGCCGAACGGCGCAGUCGAUGGACAACAGGUCAAGAUUCCUGUACUGCCCCUUGCUGGCAAUAAGAGGGACGGAGGAGGCUAGGCUAGCCGAAUAAUGGUCAUCGGUUCAAGGGCCCAAAACCUGAGUACUAGGCACCUACGGGGCCGAAGUAGCUGAUGCCACGCUCCCAAGAAAAGCUCUUACGCCGAUACAGGCAGAAAGACAACGUCUUCCUGCCAAGAAAAGCAAGGCAAGUGGGCACCUGUACCCGAAACCGACACAGGUGGGUAGGUUGAGAAUACCUAGGGGCGCGAGACAACUCUCUCUAAGGAACUCGGCAAGAUGGCCCCGUAACUUCGGGAGAAGGGGUGCCCCCUAUGGGGGGCCGCAGUGACCAGGCCCAGGCGACUGUUUACCAAAAACACAGGUCUCCGCAAAGUCGAAAGACGACGUAUGGGGGCUGACGCCUGCCCAGUGCCGGAAGGUUAAGGAAGUCGGUUACUCGAAUACGGGGAAGCUGGCGACCGAAGCCCCGGUGAACGGCGGCCGUAACUAUAACGGUCCUAAGGUAGCGAAAUUCCUUGUCGGGUAAGUUCCGACCCGCACGAAAGGCGUAACGAUCUGGGCACUGUCUCGGAGAGAGGCUCGGUGAAAUAGACUUGUCUGUGAAGAUGCGGACUACCUGCACCUGGACAGAAAGACCCUAUGAAGCUUUACUGUUCCCUGGGAUGGGGUUUGGGCCCUUCUUGCGCAGUCUAGGUGGGAGGCGAAGACGGUGUCCUUCCGGGGACACUCGAGCCGAAGAUGAGAGACCACCCUAGAAGGGCUAGGAUUCUAACCUUAUGUCUAGAAGAAGGCUAGGGGACAGUCCCAGGUAGACAGUUUCUAUGGGGCGUAGGCCUCCCAAAGGGUAACGGAGGCGUGCAAAGGUUUCCUCAGGCUGGACGGAAAUCAGCCUUCGAGUGCAAAGGCAGAAGGGAGCUUGACUGCGAGACCCACACGUCGAGCAG